CCACGAGGGCGAAGGCUUGGAGGAGAGUGAGGUGGCGUUGGGUGAGGUUCCAGUGGGAGGGGUUGAGCGACGAAGAUCCGACGGUGGAGAUGUAAUGUGGCGGUUGAGGCGAGUGGGAGGAGAAAGAAGAGAUGAGUUUGGGAAGUGCGGUGGGUUUAGUGAAGGAGAGGUUAGGUUGUUGUAGUGAGAGAGUGUUGUUGAUGGUGGGUUUAGUGAAGGAGAGGUUAGGUUAGGUUAGAAAAACGGGUGGGUGGUUUGAAGGUUGAAAACGCAGGGAGGUUAGCAUCUCUGUGGAGUUUGGUGGUUGACACGGUGACGAAGAGUUUUCUCCACUGCUGAAACUGAAGCUUCCAUCUUCAUCUUCUCUUUACGUGUUGUGUGUGAGAUUCGGAGAUUGAAAUAAGCAGAAAACAAAAGUUGUGGCUUUGGAGUUCAUGAUGGUGGGAUGAUUAUGAAGAUUUUUUUUUAAUGAAAGACUUUAAACAGCGCUUUCUCAAAGCCGCUGACUAAGGUGUCUAUAUUUAAAGCUUUCUAAAAGCGCUGUCUAAGGGGGGGUCUUAGACAGCGCUUUUACAAAAGCGCUGUCUAAGACCCCCCCUUAGACAGCGCUUUCAUUAUUUUUUUGAACAUUUUCCGUGUUUUAUUUUUAUUUUAACCUUAGACAGCGCUUUCUUUUAAAAGCGUUGUCUAAGAUGCGCUGUUAAAAGUCAUUUUUGGCGUAGUGGACGUAUGAAUUGCUUCAUAUGGAAGACAAUGAAAGCAUAAUUGAUUUCUUCACCAAGGUUACGAAACUAGUGAAUCAAAUCAAGGUAUGUGGAGAAGUGUUGACAUCAAGAUCUGUCGUUGGAGAGAUCUUGAGGUCGUUGGCUCUAAAGUUCGAACACGUGGUAGUAGCCAUAGAAGAGUCGAAAGAUUUAUCAAAACUGACAAAGGAAGAGCUUCAAGGGACGCUUGAAUCUCAUGAACAAAGAAUGGUUGAAAGAGUUGCAGGAAAGUCGAAGAGUGAUAUGGUUUUACAGGCGCAAUCAGUAAAAGAAAGGAAAGGAAAAGGAAGUUGGACUGGCAACAAAGGCAUAUGAGGUUACAACAAUUCGACUGAUCGAAAUCAGCAAGAAGGAAACUGGUCGAAUAAGAGAAAACCCUGGAAUCAAGGCAACCAAAGAGGUGGUGUUGCAGGUAGAGGAAGAGGUGGUGGUCAAAAGCAAGACAAGAGUCACAUUCAGUGUUACAAUUGUCAGAAGUAUGGUCACUAUUCUAGUGAUUAUUCCGAAAAGUAGAAGAAUCAAGAAACUUAUGUAAAGCUGGCGAAACAUGAAGAAUAUGAGACGUUGUUGAUGGUUACAACAAGAGAUGAAGAGAGAUUCAAGGACCAGUGGUACUUGGACUAAGGAUGCUCAUCACACAUGUCUGGAAGGAAAGAUUGGUUUGUCAACAUAAAGCCCUCAAUGAAGAAUAUGGUGAAAUUUGAAAAUGACAACACUCUAGCAGCUGAAGGUGUUGGUGAUGUUCUGAUUAUGAGGAAAGAUGGCAAGAGGUCAGUAAUUUCAAAUGUGUUGUACAUACCAGGCAUGAAGAGCAAUUUGCUCAGCAUAGGGUAGUUAGUCGAAAAGAACUACAAGGUGUUGAUCGAAUACAAGAUGAUGAGAGUUCUCAACUCAAAUGGAAGGUUGAUCUUGAAGGCUCCAAUGUCUUAGAAUAUAACCUUCAAGAUUGAAUUAAAUGUGAUGGAGCAUAAGUGUCUUGCAACAGCAGCCAGCAGAGAUGAAUGAAUAUGGCAUUAUAGACUUGGCCAUCUCAAUUUCAAAGACAUCAGAAAUUUGAAGAGAAGAAGUAUGGUUUCAGGAUUACUAGAAAUCGACAUUCCAAACGAAUUCUGUGAAGAAUGUGUGCAAGCGAAGAAGCACAAGAACAACUUUAAUAAGGAUGCAGGAAGCAGGUCGAUGGAAAUUUUGAAGUCAUAUACUCUAAUGUAUAUGGUCUUAUCCAGGUGGAUUCGAUUGGAGGUAACAAAUACUUUGUUACAUUCACAGAUGAUUUCAGUCAAAAACUUUGGACUUACCUGAUCAAGAAGAAAAGUGAAGUGAUCGAGGUAUUUGCCAAGUUUAAAUAUAUGGUCGAAAGACAAAGCAGUCGAAAGAUCAAGAUUCUAAGGAUUGAUGGUGGUGGAGAAUAUGUGUCGAAAGACUUCGACGCAUUAUGUGUGAAAGAAGGGAUUGUGCAUGAGGUGGUGCCACCCUACACUCCACAGAAGAAUGGAUUCGUAGAAAGGAAGAAUAAAACCAUCAUGAAUAUGGUUAGAAUUAUGUUGAAAAAGGAAAGCAUUUACCCAAAUAAUUAUGGGGAGAAGUUGUGUCGACAACAACAUAUAUCUUGAAGAGAUGUCCGACGAAGAAGCUAGAAGGAAUCACGCCAGAAGAAUGUUAGUCUGGUGUCAAGCCUAGCUUGAUUCAUCUGAAGGUGUUUGGAUAUAUAGCACAUAGACAUGUGUCGGAUCAAUUGAGAAGAAAACUUGAUGACAAGUUGAGUCAGAUGAUCCUGAUAGGAUAUCAUUCAACUGGAGGAUACAAGUUGUUCGACCCAGUGAACAAGCAAGUGGUGAUCAGCAGGGAUGUGAUCAUAUAUGAGCUUAAGGAAUUGGAUUGGACUGAGAAUGUUAAGAAGGAUUCAAUUAGAAUCUUAUAUGAUGAAUCAACUAGUGAAGUCGAAAGAGAAGUUCGACAAGAAGUCAGAGGUGAAGCAGGCCCAAGCAGACCUCAAAGAACAAGACACAUGCCUGCAAGGUUGCAAGAAUGUGUGAUUACAUCAGAUGAUGUGGUCAAUGAAGAAGGUGAGCUGGUACACUAUGAUUUCUACGCAGAUGUCAAACCAGUCAAUGCAGCUGAGGCAUUGAAAUAUUCGAAGUGGAUGAAAGCAAUGAACAAAGAGCUGAAGUCAAUAAUACUUGGUCACUUGUCGAAUUUCCCCAAUAUAAGAAGGCAAUCGAUGUGAAGUGGGUAUACAAGGUGAAGUUGAAUCCCAAAGGAUAAGUGACUCGACACAAGGCGAGACUUGUAGCGAAAGGAUUUCUUCAGAAAGAAUGAAUCGACUUCAAUAAAGUUUUGCACCUGUUGCUAGGAUCGAAAUAAUUAGGUUGGUUGCUGGUCUAGCAAACAUAAACAACUGGCAGAUAUGCCAGAUGGAUGUGAAAUGUGCAUUCCUUAAUGGCCACAUUAGAAGAAGAAGUUUAUGUUGCACAACCAGUUGGGUUUGUGAAACAAGGCAAAGAAAGAAAUGUGUACAGGUUGCAUAAAGCCCUGUACGGACUUAAACAAGCUCCAAGAGCUUGGAACAAGAAGAUAGAUGUCUUUUUAAGGGAGAAAGAAUUUGUGAAGUGAAAAACUGAACAUGGAGUAUAUGUAAGAAAAAGCAAGAGUGAAUUGCUUAUAAUAUGUCUCUAUGUCGAUAACUUGUUGAUAACAGGUAGCUGCAAGAAGGAGAUCGAAGACUUCAAAGGUGAUCUCAACAAGGAAUUCGAAAUGUCAGAUCUGGGUGACAUUUCAUAUUUCCUUGGCAUCGAAUUCUAUAAGAGUGGUAGAGGUUUGAAGAUGCAUCAAAGAAGGUAUGCAUGUGAAAUCCUCAAGAGAUUUGAGAUGCGAGAUUGCAACUCAACUUCGACUCCAACUGAUCCCAAAUUACAACUGUCGAAAAAUUCAGAUGAAGAUGAUGUCGAUCCAACCCAAUAUAGAAGACGUAUUGGGUCACUUCGAUACCUUUAUCAUACAAGGCAUGACUUAGCAUAUAAUGUAGGUAUGGUGAGUAGAUUCAUGCAUAAGCCAAAGGUAUCACAUCUAGAAGCAAUAAAGAGGAUACUAAGGUAUCUGAAAGGAACUCUCGGCUAUGGCAUUUUGUUUCCUGCAGCUGACGAAGGAAAAGAAUGCAAACUAGUGGGAUACACCGACUCAAGUUGGUGUAGUGAUGUUGAGGAUCAAAAAACCACAGUUGGUUAUGUGUUUAUGCUAGGUUGUGCACUCAUUGCUUGGAGUUCGAGAAAGGAGCCAAUUGUGGCACUAUCAUCGUGCGAAGAAGAAUACAUAGCUGCUUCUCUUUGUGCAUGUCAAGCAACAUGGAUGGUGAAUCUGGUCAAAGAAAUAACAGCGAAGAGUCAUGGAGCAAUUACCAUGAAGAUCGAUAGCGUGUCAGCUAUCAAUUUGGCAAAGAAUCCGAUAGCACAUGGUCGAAGCAAGCACAUCGAUAUGAGGUUCCAUUAUCUUUGAAAGUAGGUAGCAGAUGGGAAGAUGAAUGUGGAACACUGCAGAACUGAGAAUCAGAUUGCAGACAUCAUGACGAAUGGAGUGCAUGUCGAAGUAUUUAGAAGACUAAGAGUUAUGAUGAAUGUGGAUAGCUUAGACACAAUGAAUUAGGUGGUGUGUUGAAUUGUAAUUCCUUGUGUCGAAGCAGGUUGCUCGACAGAAGCAAGGAAGUGUUGAACCACCUAGUGUCUUAAGUUGUAUUAGUGUGUCAAAGUGUCGAAGCAUAUUGUUUCACACAGGAUUUCGACUUAGGCCUGUUUUUUGUAGUGUUAACUAUUUUAGGCUUUUAUAAUUUUGGGCUUUGGCUUAGGGAGCAAGUUAACCUAAAUCUAUAAAUAGAGGGAGUAACCCUUAUUUUUGUAAUGAAGUGAAUGUUGUAUUCAUAAUAUUGUAUUCACAUAAUGUUGCAGUUGCAAAGUGAAUAAGAAGUUUUCCACAGGUUGUGGGCAGAGAGAAACUCUGCAGAAAAUAUUCUUCUUCUCCAGCGUUCUUUCUUUAUUUCUCCAUUGUUCUUUUAUUUUAUUGUCAUUGUCUGGGUGAUAACAAUCUUGUUCAUCGAGAUUGAUAGAAAUUCUCCAUAGAUUAUGGUGCAUUUCCAACACAUUUCACAUGUCAUUUGGUGAAAUUAAAAUUAUUCAUGAUAAUGUUGCAUGUUUACUUCACCUUUCGAUCAUCGGUGAGUUUUAUGAUCAUAUUGUGGGUAUCCCUGAAGAAAGUGUUAAUGCACUUAUGUUAGAAAUAUUGGGUUUCACCAUACAUAAGACCAAAUCACAAAUUCAUAAUUGUAAGGGGGCAUAGUAUAGCCAAGAGUGUCUAUAUUCCCUAUUUGAGGGGCAUUGUGAUGUUAGUCGAUUCAAAUGUGUCAUUAGGGGUUAUAUGUUUAUGCUUGUAGAGAGUAUUAUUUUUGCAGAUAAGAGUUUUACUCUUGUAAUGGAAAAAUAUGUAUUGUUGUUUAGGGACUUGUCAAACUAUAAUAGAUAUGUAAUUUAUUGGUAUCUAUUUGCCACACAAUAUAUAUCUUCCUAACGCACAAGCAUAAGGAAACUCAUAUGUUUUUUUAAGAGUACAACCAUAAAUCCGGGUAUCGGUUUCGGCAUAUUCAUCUCUCUCAAACUCUUCAUCAAUGUGUUCUAAAGUAUCUCAGGAUAUAGAUCCAGAAACUUCUCAUUAAAUGUUCAACUUCAUAAAAAGUCCUAUAAAAAGAAGUUCUAAUAUUUCCUAGUUGUAACUUUAUGUUGCCAUUCAUAUUUUGCCAAUAUUUGCACAAAUCACCCAUAUUAUUUUCCAACGUCUUCUACAAUUCCCAUUGAGCAAACUCAAUUCUAAAAUGAAAAAAAUAUCACAUAAAAGGGAUUUCAUAGCAUUAUAAAAAAUAAAUAUUUAAAUUACAAAUUUCAAAAACUAGUAAUCAUACAUAUUAGUCGUUGUGUUGCUGAAAUUAUAUUUCUCAGAGGACAGUUGUCGAACACGUUGCCCUCGAAAAUGGGUUCAACAAAUUAAACCAGAAUCACCACAUUUAACAUAUAUUCAAUUGUAGAAGAUGGUGGAAUAGAAAAGAAAUAAAGAACACAUAUUUGAUAACACGGUUUGAUGCAACAGUGCCUAUGUCUUGAGGGUUGGAUAUCAACCCAAGAAAGGAAAUUAACUAUUAGUAGCUUAGUACAAUUAGUUUUACAAGCAACAACAAACCAUAUGUUGUUCAAUGCCUCUUUCUAAUACUACCCAAUGACUUUCUAUUUAGGUCCCCCCCCCCCUCCUCUAAAUAUGAGAACUCUUAUCACUUUCUCUCAAUCACUAAACCCUAGUGAUUAAUGUUUAACCCAAUUAUCAAAGAUCAAGAUAACUCAAAUAGAAAAACCUAUAACUAUGUCAAGUUACUGAAACAUAGUGUGGUGUAUAUGCAUCAAUAUCAAUCACUCUAAACCCUAUAACUCUAACAUCUUCAAUGUAUUAUUUGCGUUUCAAUAUAGGUUUUGAGCUUCUUAUAUAGCUAAAGUAUUUUGCGCUUUUCUCUUUGGAUCUUAGCUUUAAUUUCGUCCAGAAUCUUUGCAUAAUCAGUUGGAUAUUAUUUGUUCUAUAUAUAUAUCCAACAGAAAGAUAUGAUUUGGUUUAAUUAAAAUUAAAAUUAAAAUCACAUUUAUAUCUUAUUUUCUCUUCACAGUUGUCCAACAAACCAUAUAAUUAUAUUGCUAAAUAAAAGCAAUAAAAUCUAAUUGAAUCUUCAAUAGAAGACUCGUCCCAAAGCGCAAUAAUUUGGCAUGUUGAGUAAGGCCCGGAUGUUGUACCCACAUGUUGUGUCAUUGCAUACAGAAUGUGUCCCUUCUGCACCAGAAAAUCAUCUUGAAGUAGCUGAGAAAACAUGGGCGCUUCUCCAUGUUAUUAUUUUGCAAAAUGCAGUCAAUCCAAAAGGAACCACAAUCUUCCCUUUUGGUAAAUUAUGGAAAAAUAACUCUUCAAGAUAGAUAGCACUCAUUCAAUCAGAACAAGUGGCAUUCAGCAGAAGACUACCAGAGCAUACAAUUUCAACAACAACAUUCAGCAGAGUUGUAGCACAGAAGCGGAAAAGUAGUAGUAUUCAUCACAGAUGUGACACAAAACAAUGAUCCAAAAUCAAUCAGACAUACAUUCAUGCAAUCAUUCACAACUUUGUUAUGCAUGGCACUCAGUCAUCUCAUAGUUAGUAGCAUACAUUCUACCAUCUAACAAUUAUAAGUAUGCAUUCAUUCACAUACUCAGUCAUGCAUAACACAAACAGUUAGUAGUUAAUAUCAGGAUAUGCAAAAUACUACUAACACAAAAUCUCACUCCAAAAGGGCCAGAUGUCUUGCUCGAUGCUCCAACAUGUGUGGACACAGUCAUACCAGGAUCAUAUCAAACAUCAACAGUUAGUCCCUAUCACAAUAGUUUGUACCAGAUAGUACAAAUCAUAGUCAGUAGCAUAUUUUGAACUCUAUACACCACAAAGUCAAUAGUUAAGUUAGCCACUCCACUACACACUCCAUUUUUUCCCCCAUUUGCCACAAUUUGGAAAAUGCAUGAAAAGAGAGAAAACCAUAGGAAUACUACCAAACAUAUUAGAGAAGAGAAGUCUUCUUUCAAAGCAUAUUCAGUCUUCCAAAUAUUAUAAAUCCAAAUCUUUUUCCAAACUGAUUUGGAUUAACAAACUGCAUCCAAAAGACAUUUUUUCUAACCAAAUGCAGUACUAGCAGUCUGCGCGCCAAAAUAUCCCAUAACAUGUUCUAGACAUCUUGAAUUCCAUUUUGCCUAUAUAAAAAAGCCAACCACAGAAACAACAAUCUCCUCAUUUGGCUAUUUUUUAGGCAAAACACGUAUUUAUCGACUUCUUCAAGAUUGCACCAUAACUAGUGUUCAAGAGAUAAACAUUAUCAAAGAAGUGUUCUCUUUUCUUUUUUUUCUCCCUCUCUUUACCUCAAAAGAGAUAGAGUACAUAGAAAGAACCAUAAACAAAAUAAGAAGCUUCAGGAUCCAAAAUAAAAGCUUGACAAGAACAGCAACCAAUCAGACCAGCGAAUAUCUUCAUCCGAAAAAACUUAAGAAAGGAUCAAGUACCAUAUAAUAAGAACACAAGAGCACAAUCAUCAAAGGAGCACCAAAAUAGUAAUAACAGUAAUAACUGGUUGAGGUGAAAAAUCUCCAACAUUUCUCCAUCAAAAAACAUAUCAGUUUCACUACACAGAUGUUUAACGCAAUGUCUGAGACAUCUUUCCCAACAUUCAACUUGAAACUGAAAUUCAAUAACCCAUGAGGAAUAUAUUCAUUAUUAACCUAAAUCUCCUUCAUCGACGUAGGAAAACAUGUUCCAACAAUCAACAUUAUUUUCAACAACUGAGCAUCACUAUGAAGCUCCAUAAUUUCAUUAUUCUUCAGUACUUCAACGUGAUGUUCUUCUUCAUCCUCACUUGCAAUUUCCUCUUAUUCCUUGGUCAUAAUCUUGUCAAGAGAGGUAACCUUGAUUCUGCCCAUAUAAUCAUCAAUAAUUGGAGGUGAAAGCUUCACACACUUUCCUCUAUCAUACACUUUUCUAUACUCCUUGCAACCUUCAAAAUUACACUCAGGAACGAAUUCCUUGACCAUCUUUUUAUAGCAAGAACCAACAACUUUUAUGAAUUCCAUGAUAUCUUUACACUCAAAAGCUUAUUUACUUAACUCUCUUUCAUAAGCAAUUCUUCUUUGGAAGACAUACUUCCAAUUCUGAACAGUGAUUUUAGAAUUGAAUGACACAUUAUCCAUGGAGCAGCGAGAAUUCUCUUUCCAUAAACCUUUCUUCUUGAAAGCCUCCCUUGUAUUAAUUGCUAUAAGAUUUCACACAUCCAAAUACCAAGAGCACCCUUUAGCUUUUUAAUUUGAGCAUUAUCUAAGGCUUUGGUAAAAAUAUCUCUUAGUAGCUUAACUUGUAGACCAAGAGAGUCAGUAAAACUUCCUACAAUACUUAUCUCAAUUUCAGACAGCAUUUGUUGAACAUAAUAUUCCAACAUCUUGUCUAAAAUUUCACCAAACCCACAAUCAUGUUUUUGAAUAAUCAAAAUUCAAGAAUUAUGAGAACCAACCCCUAUAUGAAAAAUUAUGCCAUUAUCACUAAUCUUCCUUAUCUUCUUUUUUUGAACCACUAUAGGUUGUUGAUUGUUGGAUAGACCUUUAGCCUGACCAUCAACCUUCCCUUCAAUGAUAACUCCUUGCUUGAUUCUCAUAAAUCCCAAAAGUGGUACUUUUGAAACACAAGUAAGAUAUUGAGAUACCUUAUAUGACAACUUGGUUUGCUUUCCAACUUGACACGUGUCAUGAAUUUUACUUUCUUCAAUCUUUAGUUUUGACACCAUCUUCAUAUAUGAUCUUCUUCAUACUUUUAACCUUGGGUGAGGGCAGAGAAAUUCACAUAUAAUAGUUGUAUUUGGAUCUUGAACCUUUCAUUAACACCAUUUCAUCCUUUCUGGAGACAAUACAUGUUGACUUGUUGUAGCUAACAGUCAUACCUUGAUCACAUAUUUGACUUAAGUUGAUCAAGUUAGAAGUUAAUCCUUCUACUAGUAGCACAUCAUCAAGACAUGGUAAAUCUGGACUCACCGGCUUGCCUAUCCCAUUGAUUCUUCUCUAUUUCCAUCACCAAAUGUGACAUAACUAUUAGAAUAGGGAUUUAACACUUCAAUGUAGCUCCUUUCACCAAUCACAUGUUAUGAACAUCCACUAUAAAAAUACCAAUCAUUUCUAAAAGAAACUCUAAGAGGAACAUGAGUUAAGAGACACUGACGGUUUCCUUGUGUUGCCAUACAACUAUUCCUAGCACUAUAACUAUAGUUUGGUGUAUAUACAACAAUAUUGUUGAUAAUUGGGUUUCCUUGUGUAUAUACAUUUGAGAUAUUAUAAUCCUAGCACUAUAACCCCAUUGAUUUAAAGUACUUGUUAUUGUUGUAUAUACACCAAACCUACAACUAUUCCAAGUUAAUGAAACAUAGUUUGGUGUAUAUACAACAAUAACAAGUACUCUAAAUCCUAGCACUAUAAUAUCUCAAAUGUAUUGUUUGUGUUCCAUGUAAGUUUUGAACUCCUUAUAUAGAAAAAUUAUUUUGGGCUUUUCUCUUUGGAUCUUAGCUUUAAUUUCAUCCAUAAUCUUUUCACAGUUUGUUGAAUAUUAUUUGUUCCUUAAAUAUCUCCAACUGAAAGAUAUGAUUUGGUUUAAUUCAAAUUUAAAUUUAAAUCACAUUUAAAUCUGAUUUAAUCUUCACAGAUGUCCAACAAAUCAUAUAAUCAUAUUGCUAAAUAAAAGCAAUAAAAUCUAACUAAAUCUUCAACAGAAGAUUCAUACCAAAACACAAUAAUUUGGCAUGUUGAGCAAGGCCCAGAUGUUGUAUCCACAUGUUGUGACAUCGCGUUUAGCAUGUGUUCCUUCUGCACCAGAAAAUCAUCUUGAAUUAGUUGAGGAAACUUGAACACUUCUCCAUGUUGUUGUUUUUCAAAAUGCACUCAAUCAAAAAGGAACAACAGUUGCCUAAAUGCAACACUAGAUUGAUCCAUGCUCCAAUAGAUCUUUAUUUAUGAGGAUUCAACCAAGUUUAUUUAACAUAAUAAAUAAAUAACAUACAAUCAACACAUGUUUGGUCAAACUCAUGCAACCAUUAUUAAUAUUCAACCUUAUAAGUAUACUAUAAGACUUUUGCUCAUAUUGUGAUUUUUCCACACUCUCUUCUUUUUAUUCAUGCAAGUAUCUUUUUUUUUUAUUUACCUUGUUAUCCAAUAUUUUCCUCAUUCUCUUCUUCCUACUUCUCACCUUUUUCCAUCUUCUCACCUUAUGUUCUAUAUCUGCCUCCUCCGAAUCACUUCCUAAUUCAUUUUUUUUUAUUGAUGAUUUUCUAUAUUGCUUGGGCCUUAGAAUUUUGGCAAUCCUCCUUCAUAUGAAAUUCAUAGAAUAUCAUCUUUCAUUCUUCUUGGGAUUUUCAACUGUAUUUCCUUCACAACCAUUAGAUGAUUUAGCUUCCAAUUUCUAUGAUAUUAUCCCAAUUUAUGUUUUUAGAUUUUUGAGGGAUUUGUCUGUAUUCUUAUUGGUAGUAUCUUACGCUAGAUGCAUGUUCCUGAUAUUUUCUUGUGUAUAUUAUACAUAUUGAAUGAGAAUUCCAUUUCCUUUGGAAAACUUCCUCGUGUGAGUAGGUUGUCGAUUAUGUUCUUGGGAUUGUUAUUGAUGUUAAUCUUUUUGGUAUCUUUGUUGUUGUCUUAUAUAAGGUGGUCGAGAGUAUUGUUGUGAUGAUUGUUGUUGGUUUUCAUAUUGUUUUGGUUGAUUCAAUUUUUUUUGGUUGUUUUAAUAUGGUUGUUGUUGUUAGUUUGAGUAUUGAUUUUGUUAAGGUUAUUUUUGGUAUUAGUUCUGGUACGGUUUCUCUUGAUUUGAACCCUGACCAGAAUUUUCACUCCAUCUUAGACUUUGAUGAUUUAUCCAUGCUAGUGUAUAAGUGCUAGAGAAUGGAUUAUUUAUUUGGAAUUUCCCAUGAAAUUGACUUAUUCGUCCACAUAUUCUCCUGAUUUACACUAGUCAUUUUUAUGACCUUCAAUGUAGUAGUCACCCAUCAGAGGUUUAUGUACCCUUUUUACCUGAUGAUACCCCAUUUGGGGUUCCUCUAUUUUCUUGGUUGGUGUGUAUAUUUGUGCCUUCAUCUACUUGUGCAUUCUAAGUAUCAAUAUAUAUGCUUCCUUUUCUGCUAGCAACUCGGUAUAAUAUGGCCCUAAAUUCAUUAUGCACCAUGUUACCAAUCAUUUAUUUUAUUAUCGUCACAGAUUUGUUCAACAUGGUGCCUCCUAUUAAAGCAUCCAAAAGUAGUAUGGUUCCUUUGGUGAAGUAUUGUACCUUCCCCCAAAUCAUUAGUGUUAUGUAAAGGACAAUGUUAAAUCAUUAAUUUAUACAUUUCCCAUGCAUAAUAAUGAGACUCGUUAUCUCCUUGUUUGAAUUCAAUUAUGGCAGUCAUUCGAACAACAAAGUUGCUCACGGAAUAAAAUCUUCCCAAAAACAUAUUUCUUAUUCCACUCAUAUGGUGAUAGGUUUUUUGGGCACCGCCUCAACCCGAUCUUGAGAUCUUCUAGUCAAUGUUAUCGGGAACAAUAAUAAUUUCUUAUUGCUUGUAGAUACACCAGUUGGGUUGUAGAACGAACACACAUGUUUGAAUUGUGAAAAAUGUUUGUAUGUGUCAAUCAAAGAAUUUCCAUCAAAUGUAAUAUCUCUUAAACCUGAAAGAACAUAAUUUUCAAUUCAAAGUUACAUGGAGUCGCCAGUUGGAGUCCAUAGUUUACUUCUUCUCCAUUUUUAUAACUUCCAAAUCUUCCAGAGUAUGGUUAUCUAGUUCAGUCAUCUUUUCAUCUUGUUGAUUAGCUACUCGAGUAGCUUGCUAGAUUUCUCUUGUGGUUCUCUCAAUUUCUAAACCAUUUUAACCCUGCAUUACACAUAGACUAACCAACUGAAACCUUAAGUACUACCUUUCAAACAAAAUUUUAAAUAAUAUAGAGCAAAAAAUUAAAACAGAAUUUAAAAUGCGAUAAAAUUUCAAAUUCAAUCGCAUAUUUUUUCCUUGUUGAAGUGAUCAACAAUCCUCAACAACAACGUCAUUUUGUUAGAUUGGAAAUCGAUGUCGCCGUAAUCUUGCCAAUAAAAACAUCAUAAUGGCAAGUAAAAUUAUUGUAUCCACAUAGAUUUUAUUACCUCGUACAAGGAUAUACUUGUCAAAAGUACAUAAUGUAUGGCACCCCUAUGCUGGUAGGGGUGGCUAGAGGCCUUAGUAAUUUUCUACGGGUUAGGGCUUGCUCACAGUGGUGAGAAACCCGGUUUGGUGAUGUUUUACAGUGAUGAGAGAGAAAGUUCACGUGAGGUGAGAAGCUUUGCAGCUUUAUGGUGUAUAUAGUGUGUUAUUAUGAUUUGUCUUCUCAUCUACUAAGGAUGAGGUAUUUAAAUAGGCUAUGGUGCCUAAAAUUAGGUUUUCCUUGGGAAUAGUAACCGCCCACUUAGUUAAUGGUGAACUAUUGAAUCCUAUUUCCCAAGGAUAUGUGGAUUAGCUUGUUGACUCUGACUUCUCUCUGGCUGAGGAAUGUGUUAUCCCAUGUUUUCCAUGAUUGGGGUGAGUAUGGAGUACUCAGGGUGGGAUACUCCCUUACCGCAAGCGGCAUAUGGGAGUCGCCUCUCAUGGACGGUUGUAAACCUUCCGUCUUUAAUAGGUCUUUUACAAAUAUAUUACUACAAAGGACAUGGUGUGUGCACUUGCGAAUUUAAUGCUAUGUGUGAGUAAUAACUCAUGGGUGUGUAUAGCGUGAUUGAUUGAUUGGUUAUGUAAUUGUUAACUAGAUAAUUGUUAAUUAAUAUUGAAAAAUUUACUAAAAAUGAUUAAGUUCUCAUUUUGAAUCAUAUACUCCUAUAUGUGAAAAUUCUUAUGACUAUUCCUAUAACGAAUUUGAUUUAAUCAUUACCUUUUAUAAAACAUGGAAUUACAACCUCGCAACCCCAAAAUGUUGGAAGUCUUUAAUCGAAGGGUGACCCACUUUGUUAAAGCAACCCCUAGAUUUUAGGAAUCUUAAAUUGCAAGGACAAAGGUUUUAUGGCACAUUAAAUAAGAAGGGAGUUUUACAAAACACAGAAUUACAUCUCGGAUCCCCCCAAAUUAGUAUUUUAAAACCUUACCUGACCCGGUCGGUUGGACCAGACGGACCAUUAAUAGAGAUUAAGACGGGCUAAAAAGGUCAAAAGACCAAACAUGCAAUUGACCCGAUGAAAACCGAUGUUAGCCGGUCAGUUCACCAGUCAAACCAUUGAACCAAUGGUUUUGUUUGAACCAACGAGAUGCAUUUUUUUGCAAGGAGUGAAAAAAAAGUUCAAAAUUAAUACAACAUCUCUUAUCUCGUGUCUCAACUCAAAAUAUACAAUUUUCAUAUUCUUAAGAAUCUACUUCUCAUCCAUUAAUCUACCUUAAACUCUUAACUCUUAUAAUCAAUCUUCUUCCUUGUUAUAGAACUAGUUUUUGUUAUUUAAUUUCUUUAUUAUUGUUGAAUUUACUAAUUUCAUUUUCAGUAUUGUUAUCAUUAUUCAAUUUUAAUGUUACCUUUUUUUCUUUGCAUUUAGCCUUUGUCAUUUGAUUUGGGUGAUUUUCCUAAAGGUUUAUGACUCAUUAUUUUAUUUUGCCUUAAUGCAUUUUUUGGUCCCUUAACUUAAUUUAAGGUUUCACUUUAGUCUCUUAUCUAAUUAAUGUUAUAUAUUAGCCCCUUAAAAACAUUUAUGUUAGCCAACUUAAUCCUUUAUGUUAAACGUUGAUAAAAAUGUUAACUUUUGCAUAUGUGACCGUUUAAGUGGUAUUUGAGUUAUCUGACGUCGCUUUUUUUUAAUAUUUUGAAUUUAUUAGUUUUUGUAAAGAAAAGUUUGAUACACCGUAAUUUUCAUUUCAUUUCACCUCUUUCUUACUCAAAACCCUAAUUUCAGUUGUCUCAAUGGGAAAUAAACUGAGCUCUUCUCAAGUCAUUCAGCCGUCCACCCUCACCCCCAAAGACGACGAGCCACCCACCCCCGUCUCUGAAGAAGACAAAGUCGAUGAACAAGAUGAUGACAACAAAGAUGAUGCACCUUCCAAAAACACCAAUCAACCUGCCAUCUCUCAAGUUUUUUAACCUCUAAAAACAAAAAUCCCUCCAGUUUAAAUAAGAUACCCUUUCCUUUAUACAUGUUGACUCAGUUUUUUAAUAAUUUCUUGUUGUCAUGCCACGUUUCUAGAUGUUAAAGA
Molecule: long non-coding RNA, 14542 nt
Filed under: Lathyrus oleraceus (garden pea)
Lineage: Eukaryota; Viridiplantae; Streptophyta; Magnoliopsida; Fabales; Fabaceae
Description: Pisum sativum (pea) long non-coding RNA (PSAT_LNC003450)
Source: RNAcentral